CAAUAGCGUAUACUAAUGUUGUUGCAGUUAAAAGCUCGUAGUUGGAUUUCUGGGAUUUUCAGCCGGCCGGCUCUUAGGAGUUGUAGCUAGGUUUGCAAGUCUCAUCUUCUCACAAUUCUCACUGGCCUUAACUGUUCGGUGCAGAGGACUGAGUCGUUUACUUUGAGAAAAUUAGAGUGUUCAAAGCAGGCUAUCGCCUUGAAUAUAUUAGCAUGGAAUAAUGGAAUAGGACUUUGGUUCUAUUUUGUUGGUUUCUAGGACCGAAGUAAUGAUUAAUAGGGACAGUUGGGGGCAUUAGUAUUUAAUUGUCAGAGGUGAAAUUCUUGGAUUUAUGAAAGACUAAUUACUGCGAAAGCAUUUGCCAAGGAUGUUUUCAUUAAUCAAGAACGAAAGUUAGGGGAUCGAAGACGAUUAGAUACCGU
This 422-nucleotide ribosomal RNA is filed under the name uncultured eukaryote. RNAcentral's name for it is "bacterial SSU rRNA". It matches the Rfam family "Eukaryotic small subunit ribosomal RNA", at positions 592 to 1018 of the family's 1831-position model. The record is from RNAcentral.